This 859-nucleotide ribosomal RNA is filed under the name uncultured bacterium. Its description in RNAcentral is "bacterial SSU rRNA". It matches the Rfam family "Bacterial small subunit ribosomal RNA", at positions 28 to 896 of the family's 1533-position model. The record is from RNAcentral.
GACGAACGCUGGCGGCGUGCUUAACACAUGCAAGUCGAACGGUGAUCUCGGUGCUUGCACCGGGUGAUCAGUGGCGAACGGGUGAGUAACACGUGAGCAACCUGCCCCCGACUCUGGGAUAACCCCGAGAAAUCGGAGCUAAUACCGGAUACGAGACGCACAGGCAUCUGUAGCGUCUGGAAAGAAUUUCGGUCGGGGAUGGGCUCGCGGCCUAUCAGCUAGUUGGUGAGGUAGUGGCUCACCAAGGCGACGACGGGUAGCCGGCCUGAGAGGGCGACCGGCCACACUGGGACUGAGACACGGCCCAGACUCCUACGGGAGGCAGCAGUGGGGAAUAUUGCACAAUGGGCGAAAGCCUGAUGCAGCGACGCCGCGUGGGGGAUGAAGACCUUCGGGUUGUAAACCCCUUUCAGCAGGGAAGAAGCGAAAGUGACGGUACCUGCAGAAGAAGCGCCGGCUAACUACGUGCCAGCAGCCGCGGUAAUACGUAGGGCGCAAGCGUUGUCCGGAAUUAUUGGGCGUAAAGAGCUCGUAGGUGGUUUGUCGCGUCUGCUGUGAAAACCCGAGGCUCAACCUCGGGCCUGCAGUGGGUACGGGCAGACUAGAGUGCGGUAGGGGAGACUGGAAUUCCUGGUGUAGCGGUGGAAUGCGCAGAUAUCAGGAGGAACACCGAUGGCGAAGGCAGGUCUCUGGGCCGCAACUGACACUGAGGAGCGAAAGCAUGGGGAGCGAACAGGAUUAGAUACCCUGGUAGUCCAUGCCGUAAACGUUGGGCACUAGGUGUGGGGCUCAUUCCACGAGUUCCGUGCCGCAGCAAACGCAUUAAGUGCCCCGCCUGGGGAGUACGGCCGCAAGGCUA